GACGAACGCUGGCGGCGUGGAUUAGGCAUGCAAGUCGAACGGUAUCAUCCUUUCGGGGGUGAGAGAGUGGCGAACUGGUGAGUAACACGUAGGUUAUCUACCCUCAAGACGGGGACAACCCAGGGAAACUUGGGCUAAUACCGGAUGUGAGCAACUUUUAGUUGUUUGAAAGGUGGCGUAAGCUGUCGCUUGGGGAUGAGCCUGCGUCCUAUUAGUUAGUUGGUGAGGUAACGGCUCACCUAGGCAAUGAUAGGUAGGCGGCCUUAACGGGUGGUCGCCCACACUGGGAUUGAGAUACGGCCCAGACUCCUACGGGAGGCAGCAGUCGAGAAUAGUCUACAAUGGUCGGAAGACUGAUAGUGCGACGCCGCGUGAACGAUGAAUCCCUUCGGGGUGUAAAGUUCUUUUAUAUGUGAGCAGUGCUUCUUAUAUUAACAGUAUGGGGAGAGAGAUAUUAGCAUACGAAUAAGCAACGGCUAACUCCGUGCCAGCAGCCGCGGUAAUACGU
RNAcentral lists this ribosomal RNA (508 nucleotides) under uncultured bacterium. RNAcentral describes it as "bacterial SSU rRNA". It matches the Rfam family "Bacterial small subunit ribosomal RNA", at positions 28 to 528 of the family's 1533-position model. The record is from RNAcentral.